UAAGAGUAGCACUUAACAACAUUUCAGUGCAUCAUCAACAACUCAUCUGAGCUAAACAUCUUAAGCUAAACAAUUUGGAUCUGGUCCAAACAGUGGUAGAAACAUGCUAGCCAGCCACGCUUGUUAUGGGGUACACUAUAAAUUUAAUCAUUUUGAUCUCUGUUGCUGGACUAAAAGCUGCAAUCUACACUGUAACUUUAAACUGCUGAUUUAACAGAGUGAAUAAACUUUGGGGCCUUGUAUAAGCUACAUGAGUUUUAUUUUGACCUGUGAGUCAUGGAAAGUGACUCAUCCAAGAACAAAGUUAUGCAACUGGAAAUGAGCAUAAGAGGUCUGCUCUUUUUGAAAUCAACUAACAGCUCUCUUCGCAGUCAUUUAGGGCCUGGGUUGUGUUAUCCUGAAAUAGCCGCUCAGAGGAGUUACAGAGAUAGCGGCCAGAUGACAAGGCUUGUUUCUAGAAGGAUUUGUUAUGGGUUUGUUUGGCCACCUCAACUAAGCAGCCCUGCAAAUUUCAGACUUUGUAAGAUCAUAGUCUGCUGGGCUCAGCCAGCACGUCUGAAGUUUGGACUUUACAAUUCAGUCAUACAAUAACCACGGUACAGAAAUCCCGAAGAGCACAUAGCAGCAAGUCGAAAUGUGCUCUUUGAGUCAAGCUGUUAAGCUCCCGCUGAUCGAUCGGCCUUUCCUUUAACUGGCACUCUCACACCUACAGAUACAGACCUACAUGCAAGCACACACAUGCCAAAAUGAUGCAGCAAUAUAUGGAAGUGUACUAAGACCAUACAUUAGGAUAUUUCCACCGUAUUUACUUCCUUCCUCUCUGCAUCCUGCUUGCGUCACAAGAAAUGAGUUAGCUGUAAGGGCAUGAAGUUAAUGUUUCAAAAAAAAGGAGUGAGAAAUGCAGAUGGAAGUACAGAGCGAUAAUUUCAGUUCAGCAAACUACACUUGAAUGUUUUGAUCUUUUUCUAUUAAGAUAUUAGAGCUGCCUUCUUUCAGAUGUUGCCUUUGGUGAUCUCAAUAAGAAAGUCGGGAUUAUUUGUCCUGCUGCCGCAGCAUUUUGAAGGUCAGCCAUUUUGCACGUCCUUACUGUUUUUUUCCCUGAUGCAGCAAAGUAUAGUGAUGGUAAACAUGUGUAUCUCUUUUUUUUUUAGCCGACUGCGCUUAUCAGUGGGAGUGCAGCGUGCUGAUACUGUUAGUUUCCAAGCUGUGGCACCCCCAUUCGGAUCUGCCUUUAAACAGUUGGCCCUCUGUCUCGCCUACUUUGUAUUCCAAUGACGGUAAGGUCAAACCUCAUUUGAUGUAAGAGGGGUGAGAAAAUGUGUUGGAGGAAAAGAAACCCUUUGCCUGUGGAAAAAUUUCGGAAUUUGUGCUGCCACGGGCCUCGGCAACAGGCCGUCUCUGGAAACAGACUCGAGACCAAAGGGACGGCUGGAUGGCUCUUCAAGUGCGGCCCUGAAUUGCUCCAUCAAAAUAAAGACCUGGGCUUUUUUUUCCACCCAUGGCAAAGUGGAAAGAUGACCUUUCUGGACCCCUCAGAGGUUACUCUCACCUCCCACAUGGUCAUCUGCUGCUGAGCUAAUGACAUUUCAAGCUUCCUGGAUUCGGUGAGCAGGAGGAGCAGCCAGGAAGCUAUGACACAUUACCAACCCAGCAUCAAGUAGAGAGGGUAAGGAGUACAGACUUGAGCAUCGAGUGGCUAAAGAGACAGCUAUUUCCCUCAGGAGUUGCUGCAGAACAAAACGGAGACCAUUCUCUGUAAACCCUAGAGGUGGCUGGGUGGAAAUAUCCCAUGAGAUCAGCAGUUUAUGAAACACUCAGGACCAACAACUCUCUUCAACCACCAUUCUCCUCCAUUCUCAUGCUCAGGUUCAACUUCAGCAGCCCGUCUUGACCAUGGCUGCAUGCCUAAAUGCAUUAAGUUGCGAGCACGUGAUUGGCCAACUGGAUAUUUGCACGAGCAGUUGAAAGGGUGUACCUAAAGAAGUGGCUGAUGAGUACGUAAAUGGAGAAAAUUUGAAAGAGAAAGACUACAUCAAGGUUUGAAAUGAAGGCGAUGAGAAGAGAAGGAUGUCACCAUAUACUGGAACUCUACUGUUAUGGGUCGUUUACAGUAUUAACAUGUGUUUGUUUUUACCACAGUAUUUCACUGCUAAAUGAAACACGAUAAACUAAGCAAAUAAAACAUACUACAAAUGAGUCAUUUCACAUUUAUGAUGGAUAUGAAAAAAAUCCCAGUAACGGUAUUUCUGUCAUGUCUAUAAUCUGUCAGUCAAAUCAUCCAUGACUUUGUUUAUUGCGUUUUGUCUUUUUUGGCAAAAAGUGACGGAGUUUGUAGCCUUAACUAUUCAAACUGCAAUCGUACACUAAUUUUUCAGAUUAUCAUACAUUAUAUACAUUAAUGAUAACAAUGCUGAAGUUCUAGUUAUCAUCAGUACAGUCAGCCCUGUUUAAAUAGCAGCACCCUCACGAACAUGCUGCCUAACAUUUGCAGCAUCGCUGCACGAGAGCCAACGCAACGCACUCUCUGCUGAAACUCUGUUCAUUUUUGCCGCUCUCCUCCUGAGCUCCUCCUUAAUGAAACAAUCCAAGUAUUAUAAGCAAGGUUUCUCAUUCUUCCUUGAAAACCUAAAUCUACUCCUAUAUUCUUUUUAUUAUCAGUUUUGUGUUAUUUAUAUACACAGUAUAAAUAACAGAGCGCCUCAGUGGGAGACAGGGAUUUCUUUCAUCUCAACUCAAGUUACUUCAAAGAUUUUUGCGGUUUAUUUUCUUCUCCUCUUCUCUGUCUUUGUUUUAGUGGCAAAAACCCCCAAAACAU
Molecule: long non-coding RNA, 2815 nt
Organism: Oreochromis niloticus (Nile tilapia)
Lineage: Eukaryota; Metazoa; Chordata; Actinopteri; Cichliformes; Cichlidae
Exons: 5
Source: RefSeq, a predicted model, not a curated record